This 827-nucleotide small RNA is filed under the name Pan troglodytes (chimpanzee). RNAcentral's name for it is "processed transcript". Lineage: Eukaryota; Metazoa; Chordata; Mammalia; Primates; Hominidae. The record is from RNAcentral.
AAAAAGGACAAAAGCCAAGUCCUCAGUUUCCAAGAAGCCGGGAAAAGUGGAUGACAGUUUGGAGCAGCCCUGUGGUUUGGGCUGCUUAGUCAGCACCUGCUGUGAGUGUUGCAAUAACAUUCGCUGCUUCAUGAUUUUCUACUGCAUCCUGCUCAUAUGUCAAGGUGUGGUGUUUGGUCUUAUAGAUGUCAGCAUUGGCGAUUUUCAGAAGGAAUAUCAACUGAAAACCAUUGAGAAGUUGGCAUUGGAAAAGAGUAUUGCAGAAUGUACAUUAAUGAUUGGAUAUGCUCUGGGUUAUGUGCUAGGAGCACCACUAGUUAAAGUCCCUGAGAAUACUACUUCUGCAACAAACACUACAGUCAAUAACGGUAGUCCAGAAUGGCUAUGGACUUGGUGGAUUAAUUUUCUUUUUGCCGCUGUCGUUGCAUGGUGUACAUUAAUACCAUUGUCAUGCUUUCCAAACAAUAUGCCAGGUUCAACACGGAUAAAAGCUAGGAAACGUAAACAGCUUCAUUUUUUUGACAGCAGACUUAAAGAUCUGAAACUUGGAACUAGUAUCAAGGAUUUAUGUGCUGCUCUUUGGAUUCUGAUGAAGAAUCCAGUGUUCAUAUGCCUAGCUCUGUCAAAAGCUACAGAAUAUUUAGUUAUUAUUGGAGCUUCUGAAUUUUUGCCUAUAUAUUUAGAAAAUCAGUUUAUAUUAACACCCACUGUGGCAACUACACUUGCAGGACUUGUUUUAAUUCCUGGAGGUGCACUUGGCCAGCUUCUGGGAGGUGUCAUUGUUUCCACAUUAGAAAUGUCUUGUAAAGCCCUUAUGAGAUUUAUAA